This 250-nucleotide ribosomal RNA is filed under the name Bacillus stercoris. RNAcentral describes it as "partial 16S ribosomal RNA". It matches the Rfam family "Bacterial small subunit ribosomal RNA", at positions 79 to 321 of the family's 1533-position model. The record is from RNAcentral. Lineage: Bacteria; Bacillati; Bacillota; Bacilli; Caryophanales; Bacillaceae.
CUUGCUCCCUGAUGUUAGCGGCGGACGGGUGAGUAACACGUGGGUAACCUGCCUGUAAGACUGGGAUAACUCCGGGAAACCGGGGCUAAUACCGGAUGGUUGUUUGAACCGCAUGGUUCAAACAUAAAAGGUGGCUUCGGCUACCACUUACAGAUGGACCCGCGGCGCAUUAUCUAUUUGGUGAGGUAACGGCUCACCAAGGCAACGAUGCGUAGCCGACCUGAGAGGGUGAUCGGCCACACUGGGACUG